This 490-nucleotide ribosomal RNA is filed under the name uncultured bacterium. Its description in RNAcentral is "partial 16S ribosomal RNA". It matches the Rfam family "Bacterial small subunit ribosomal RNA", at positions 28 to 507 of the family's 1533-position model. The record is from RNAcentral.
GAUGAACGCUAGCUACAGGCUUAACACAUGCAAGUCGCGGGGCAGCAUGGGGGUUGCUUGCAACUCCCGAUGGCGACCGGCGCACGGGUGAGUAACGCGUAUCCAACCUGCCCUUCACCACGGGAUAACCCGGCGAAAGUCGGACUAAUACCGUAUGUUGUCCAUUGACGGCAUCCGAUUUGGACGAAAGGCUUUGCGGUGAAGGAUGGGGAUGCGUCCGAUUAGCCAGACGGCGGGGUAACGGCCCACCGUGGCUACGAUCGGUAGGGGUUCUGAGAGGAAGGUCCCCCACACUGGAACUGAGACACGGUCCAGACUCCUACGGGAGGCAGCAGUGAGGAAUAUUGGUCAAUGGGCGUAAGCCUGAACCAGCCAAGUGGCGUGCAGGAUGACGGCCCUAUGGGUUGUAAACUGCUUUUAUGCGGGGAUAAAGUGGCCCACGUGUGGGCUUUUGCAGGUACCGCAUGAAUAAGGACCGGCUAAUUCCGUG